ACAAUACAACUAAGCCCUAACCCAACUCUUAGCUCCACGACUCCACCCUGCUCCACCUGGCUACGGUACAUGCCCCAUAGUCUCUCAUCCUCCCAUGGCACCAAUCUAGCUCGCCAAACUCCCACUAUCACCUAUUCCACCUAUGUUGUUGCCAUUAACGCCAUUCUUCUCUGCUCCUAGGCUCCUCAGACCAUGGUAGCCUCUAGUGACAAAUAUGACGUGGGGUCUACAGGGGCUCCAGCCUCCACUACCAGCUCUAAACCUAUGGAGCCUUGCCAAGUACUCGCUAAAAUUUCCUGCCAUAUGUUCAUAAAAGGAGGGGUUAAAGUUCCAUAAAAGGUCGAAGAAAGUAAUUUUAGCACUUCACUAUUAUUUUCUUCUGAACCCUCUAGUUGGCUCCUGCUUCUCUCUAGCAAUAACCACUAAGAGCAUCCCCAACAGCUCAUCUAUCACAUCCUAUAUCCUGAAAAUAAAGGAUGAAGACUACAAAUUGAGCUCCGACAGAACGGUUAUCAUAUUAUCUAUUUUUAGAUCACAUCCAUAUUAGAAGAGAAAACCUUCAUAUUUAGAUGAUCUCUCUCUAUCCUCUAAAGAGGAUGUCAUAUAUGAAUGUUCUAGUGAAGUACAA
RNAcentral lists this long non-coding RNA (628 nucleotides) under Oryza brachyantha (malo sina). RNAcentral's name for it is "long non-coding RNA (OBRA_LNC002723)". Lineage: Eukaryota; Viridiplantae; Streptophyta; Magnoliopsida; Poales; Poaceae. The record is from RNAcentral.